This is a non-coding RNA of Poecilia reticulata (guppy), 3293 nucleotides long. NCBI's taxonomy places the organism in Eukaryota, Metazoa, Chordata, Actinopteri, Cyprinodontiformes, Poeciliidae. The record is from RefSeq and is a predicted model, not a curated record.
UUCCAAUCUUAGUCUCUUCCUUCUUUUAUAUCUUAGCCCCUUCCAUCUGCAUCUUUCCUUCCUUCCUGUUAAUCCUUCUGUUCGUCCUUCUUUCUUAUCGUCUUUCCUUCCGAUCAUCAUGUCUUCCUUCCUUCCAUCUUAUCUUAGUCCCAUCCAUCUUCCUUCCUGUCAUCACCCCUUCCUUAUACUUUCCUUCCUACGUCCCUCCUUUCAGUUUCACUCUUUCCUUUCUUCCUGCCUUUGUCCAUUUCUUCCUUCCUUGCCAUCUUUGUCCCUCCCUUCCUUCUCAUCUGCCACUACCGACUGGGAGAAAACAGAGACCAGACACAAAGAGAAACAGAGGAGCUGAUCUAGGAGUACUUUCUAUGUUAAGGGAAAGUAGAAGCAUUCAUGGUAUAGUGGCUCCUCUAGUUGCUUCAUCUUGGAGAGAAACCGGUGAUCUCUCAGUUACAGGCCGUAAWUAAAGAACUAAACCAUCCAGCGUUCACCAUCCUUCAGACCAGCAGCUUUCCAWGUUUCUGUUUACUUUCUAAUUGUUCCAGCUGGAUAUGAGCGACUGCGCUGAGGCUGGCUGUCCCUGCUGUGAUUGGCUGAUUCGUCUCCCGUCUGCCUCCACCCAUUGGCCGGCUGCAGCAGGUUGGGAGGGGCAGCUCUGUGCACCCUCCCCCUGCUCCUGUAGCUGAGCUUGUAGAUGUAAAGAGUCUUUCUCUGGCUUUUAUCUGAGUGACUUCAGCGUUCUGCCUCUGAGCGAGUGUGUGUGAGUGUGUGUGUCGGAAGGAGAGUUAAAGAGAGGAAGGAACGGAGAGAGGGAGGGAGAGCCAAGCGGCGUUUAUUUUUCUCCCCCCUGCUCCCUGUCACUCCAUCCUUCCUCCCCUGACCUGGACCACCCUCCAGUCCUGCUUCCAGCCCGMACCGGGACCCCCAUCCACCCGAACCGCCCCGGGACCCUUUGACUCUCCUCACUUCUCCGUCCCACCAACCACCACCCUGACAGGGAUUCCUCUCUGGUUCUGUUCGGAGUGCUGACUGCUAAGACCUCAGCUUCACACAAUCCUUAAGCCCAGCUGCCAGAGGUAAUUUGGUCUAAAAACACCUCAGCUCCACGUCUGCAGCAAAACUUGUUUGCCAGAGAUCCAGUUGACCUCGUUCCACCUGAGUUCUGGAGGUCACAGGUCACAUGACCUGGAAGAAAAAACCCAGGAGGCUUUUGGGAUCGCUCUCCGCAUGGGCUGGCUAUCAACCUGAAGGGAGGUCAAAAGGCUGAUGAACUGAUCUGAGUGGGAGCGCAUUCAUCUGGUGUCCUGCAUGCCCUGGGAGCCCCGCGCCCAGCACUAAUCAGAACCCAGUUUUCCCAGUAUGAAGCGGUUGGUUUCACGCUGCCUGCACCAGUUGAAGGAUGUUAGGUUUGAACAGAACAGACGAGGGAGAAAAAAGCAUGAAGAAAUGUUUUUAUUUGCUGGACACAAUGAAGCAGAACAGGUUGGUUUUAUUCGUAAUGGAUUAUUAAUGACCGACAUCCUGGUAUUUUUGUGUUUGUGUGUGUGAUUCUGCUGCUUUGGACAUGAACUCUGCGCAUACAGAGCAGCAUCUAUAUUGCAUGCAGAGGGAAGAGCUGCAGCAGAGAACCUAUCUAUGACCUGCAGACACUGAGCAGCACAAACAUCAUCAGACCGAGAGGCACAGAAUGGAAAUGCGUGUUAAAGCGGCGCUGCAGCCUCGGUGUCGGUGUCGGUAUUGACCCGGGCACAAAUUGCAAAUGUGUUAUCAGUAAAUCAACAGCUCCUGCAGAGUCCCCUGGCAUAAAUACACAAGCUUUCAAUUUCAUAGUUCAUUAGUGUUCGUUCUGUUAGCUGGUAGCUACUGGAAAUCCUGAACUUUUUUUAAUUUGGUAAUAACUUAUUCGAUUCGGAUCUUGAUUCUGUUGGUUCGUAUGGAUUUUAUUCCAUGUAGCAACGACAUGAAAUGAGUGUCAGGCUGAUUAAACCAGAAAAAAAAGCUCAAAGUCUUAAACCUGAUCAAUACAGUUGAUUCGUUCAAAGAUUAAUUAUUGACGUUUCCAUGGAGGUAGAACCUGAACUAACAUAAUAAAGAGAUUUAUUCUCCGUUUAAAUAUAAACGAUGUGUUUUUAAACCCGCAGAGCCGUUUGCACCUCUGCUAACAGUGGGCUAGCUUUUCCUUUAGCGUCUUCGCGUUUUUGCUAACUCUUAACAACUCUUAGCAUAAACCGAAUAGGUACCUAUGACAAAUAUGACCCUGUUGGGGGAGAUAUAUAACUUUAUUACACAUUUUAUGUCAUUAACUCAUAAUGGGUGUCAUCGGGGUUGAGCUUAGCGAGCUAGCAUGUUUAGCUGUAGCAGAACUAAUGUUUAUGAUUAGCGCAUCAGUUAGCAUAGCUAACUUUUCAGCUAGCGGUGCCUUUCAUAAUUUCAGUGAAAUUAGAAUCGGAAAUGGAAUAAAAAGUUUAAAUAUUCUGGGUUGUUUUUUUUCUCCUGGUUUGGUUUCUGGGUUUUCUUCACUCCGGUUUUAACCCGGCUCGGUGGAGCAACUGAAACAUAAACUAAUGGACGUCCAGCAGAGCUUCACUCAGAAAAGAUAAAAAUUAAUGUACUGUGGGAUGCAACACAUUAAAUUAAAUAUAAGGAAUCUAAUUAAAUCUUCGUCUCUUUUAAAUCUUCCAUCCUUCAUGGGUUUUGACAGAAUAAUAAAUUCUUCAUCUUGAGAUGAUGAUGAUGAUGACAUUUCUCUACAGCUGGACUGGAUCGUCCACAAAAAGUCAAAAUUCAAACUUUAGUUGAUUUUACAUGAAUGAGAAGUGAAGAGCGGUAAAUCAACGUCAGAGCUUCACGUCACCAGAUUACACCCCCCCCCCCGAGGUUCGUCAUAAUCUGUUCAUACAGAUGAUGCAAAAACAUGACAAUCAGCCCAUCGGCUCCAGCGUUCAACCACAUCCUGGUUUCUCUACGAGUCGCGUGUCAGACGUCGUGACGUCACGAGUCGUGAUCCAUCGCCUGCAUGACCUCACGUCCUGACCAGUGGCUCGCCAGCGCCUCAAACUGGGACAUAGUCUGGGAGCUCAGGAAACAUUUUAGGAUUAAAGGCGGCGUGUGAAAAGUUGGAGCUGCGUGGAAGGUUGAUGUUUACCGUAUUGGCUCCGGUUGCCGCCGCUGCAGGACUUCAUGCAUAUCUUUAUUUCAGGAACUGGAGCAGAAUGAUUUCCUUCCUACAGACGGGUUAGAUGUCGACGUUUCACCCAGAAAACAUACAUGUUCAUUAAAGCUCUGAGCUAAAAUGA